Molecule: ribosomal RNA, 254 nt
Filed under: uncultured bacterium
Lineage: Bacteria
Description: partial 16S ribosomal RNA
Rfam family: Bacterial small subunit ribosomal RNA
Source: RNAcentral
UACGUAGGGUGCAAGCGUUAAUCGGAAUUACUGGGCGUAAAGCGUGCGCAGGCGGUUGUGCAAGACCGAUGUGAAAUCCCCGGGCUUAACCUGGGAAUGGCAUUGGUGACUGCACGGCUAGAGUGUGUCAGAGGGGGGUAGAAUUCCACGUGUAGCAGUGAAAUGCGUAGAGAUGUGGAGGAAUACCGAUGGCGAAGGCAGCCCCCUGGGAUAACACUGACGCUCAUGCACGAAAGCGUGGGGGAGCAAACAGG